Non-coding RNA from Lolium perenne, 598 nucleotides. The record is from RefSeq and is a predicted model, not a curated record. NCBI's taxonomy places the organism in Eukaryota, Viridiplantae, Streptophyta, Magnoliopsida, Poales, Poaceae.
AAGCUCAACAUUUUCACUUGUAAUAUUAUUGCGUAUGACUGAUGGAGUUAAAAUCCUGUCAAAUGUCGUAUUCUUUUAGGUUUGCAUGCCAGUUUUGACGAGGAUGUUGACUCCUGGACUGUUCUCAUGACAAAUGCACCAUGUUGACAUCAGAUGGUUACAUUUUGUUCACUCUAUGAGGAAUUAUGUCUGAAGUUCUUUGAGCACAAACCUUACGAUGGAAGAGCUGCUAUGGGAUUUGGCAUGCUCAUUGGCAUCUCAAUUGGGCUCCUCAAUCUGAGUCUAGGUUUCAGUUAUGUUGGUUUCCCCAAGCCCCAUCUCUGACGCUGCUCGAUAGCACCUCGUCGACAUCUCUCAAGCAGCAGUGUACGUGGUGAUGCAGUAUCAUUCCUUGGACCUGAAUGUUGAACAUCUGUUCAUGUACAAUCUUGCUAAUGACAUCAAUAUACACUUGCUAAAGAUAACACGUAGUACCUGUCCUCAAGAAUUGAUAAAUUAGAGAAAUUAUACAAGUAUGCAUUGUAAGAGAUAAGCAGGCACAAAUGGAGCGACUAACUGCAAGGCGUUGCAAAGAAAUAGGAGGCGAGAUGAAGAGGAA